CGAGAUUAUAGGUCUGCCUUCCUCCUUCUUCUGUGGUAGUGAGCUGAUAAAAUCCUCUGCUUUCUGAGAAGAGUUGAACAUCAUCUGAUCACCGUUGUGUCACAGUUUAAUCAUUGCCGGAUAGAUGAGAAACGGCUGCUGACCCAGUGAUGUCAUAAGGACUGGGUUGAGGUUCCUUCUCCUGGCAGACGUGGCUGAACUGAAGUUGGGAAAAAACAGUAGCGUGACAUUAUCCUGCAUAUAUUAUAUAUAUAUAUAUAUAUAUGCCUGACGUGCACCCUACAGGAUCACCAAUCUAUCUUGCCACCUCAGCACACGAAAGAUAAGAGAAUCCACUUGGAAAGAUUAUCUCUGAGAAAGCCGGCUGCAUUGGAGCCUUCCGCCCCCUUUGGUAACCCCACCAGUCGCACAUUAUUUCUCCUUCUCCUAUCCUCCAUGUUCGUCACUUUAUCGUUUGUUGCAGUGUGUCUGGUGGUUUUGUCUGUUCGUGUGUGUCCUGGUCUUGGCUCUUUGUUUCGGAUUCCUUGAUCCUGCUGGGUUGGUUCGCCCAUUGCAUCCCUGCAUUGCUGUCCUAAGUGGUGGUCUCUUCAGCCUGCCUUGCCUGCUUCAGUCCUGCUUCACUCGCCUGUGCUUUGUCCAGC
This is a long non-coding RNA of Cyprinus carpio carpio, 641 nucleotides long. The record is from Ensembl. Lineage: Eukaryota; Metazoa; Chordata; Actinopteri; Cypriniformes; Cyprinidae.